RNAcentral lists this ribosomal RNA (252 nucleotides) under uncultured bacterium. RNAcentral describes it as "partial 16S ribosomal RNA". It matches the Rfam family "Bacterial small subunit ribosomal RNA", at positions 524 to 776 of the family's 1533-position model. The record is from RNAcentral.
UACGAAGGGGGCUAGCGUUGCUCGGAAUCACUGGGCGUAAAGGGUGCGUAGGCGGGUCUUUAAGUCAGGGGUGAAAUCCUGGAGCUCAACUCCAGAACUGCCUUUGAUACUGAGGAUCUUGAGUUCGGGAGAGGUGAGUGGAACUGCGAGUGUAGAGGUGAAAUCGUAGAUAUUCGCAAGAACACCAGUGGCGAAGGCGGCUCACUGGCCCGAUACUGACGCUGAGGCACGAAAGCGUGGGGAGCAAACAGG